RNAcentral lists this ribosomal RNA (254 nucleotides) under uncultured bacterium. Its description in RNAcentral is "partial 16S ribosomal RNA". It matches the Rfam family "Bacterial small subunit ribosomal RNA", at positions 524 to 777 of the family's 1533-position model. The record is from RNAcentral.
UACGUAGGGUGCGAGCGUUAAUCGGAAUUACUGGGCGUAAAGGGUGCGCAGGCGGUUCCGCAUGUCGGGCGUGAAAUCCCCGGGCUUAACCUGGGAAUGGCGUCCGAAACUAUGGGACUGGAGUGUGGCAGAGGGAGGUGGAAUUCCACGUGUAGCGGUGAAAUGCGUAGAGAUGUGGAGGAACACCGAUGGCGAAGGCAGCCUCCUGGGCCAACACUGACGCUCAUGCACGAAAGCGUGGGGAGCAAACAGGA